CAGCAGCCACGGGAAUACGUAGGGUGCUAGCGUUGCUCGGAAUGACUGGGCGUAAAGGGCGCGUAGGCGGAUUGUUUAGUUAGGCGUGAAAUUCCUGGGCUUAACCUGGGAACUGCGCUUGUGACUGCACAGCUAGAGUAUGGCAGAGGGGGGUGGAAUUCCACGUGUAGCAGUGAAAUGCGUAGAGAUGUGGAGGAACACCGAUGGCGAAGGCAGCCCCCUGGGCCAAUACUGACGCUCAUGCACGAAAGCGUGGGGAGCAAACAGGAUUAGAUACCCCCGUAGUCCCUGUCUCUUAUAC
This 301-nucleotide ribosomal RNA is filed under the name uncultured bacterium. RNAcentral's name for it is "partial 16S ribosomal RNA". It matches the Rfam family "Bacterial small subunit ribosomal RNA", at positions 509 to 807 of the family's 1533-position model. The record is from RNAcentral.